CAAACGACUCUCGGCAAUGGAUAUCUCGGCUCUUGCAUCGAUGAAGAACGUAGUGAAAUGCGAUACUUGGUGUGAAUUGCAGAAUCUCGUGAACCAUUGAGUCUUUGAACGCAAGUUGUGCCCGAGGCCUUGUGGCCGAGGGCACGCCUGCUUGGGCGUCAUGG
Molecule: ribosomal RNA, 164 nt
Filed under: Zingiber corallinum
Lineage: Eukaryota; Viridiplantae; Streptophyta; Magnoliopsida; Zingiberales; Zingiberaceae
Also listed under: 1 other name
Description: 5.8S ribosomal RNA
Rfam family: 5.8S ribosomal RNA
About the family: 5.8S ribosomal RNA (5.8S rRNA) is a component of the large subunit of the eukaryotic ribosome. It is transcribed by RNA polymerase I as part of the 45S precursor that also contains 18S and 28S rRNA.
Source: RNAcentral